This 178-nucleotide unclassified non-coding RNA is filed under the name Erysiphe divaricata. RNAcentral describes it as "sequence contains ITS2". Lineage: Eukaryota; Fungi; Ascomycota; Leotiomycetes; Helotiales; Erysiphaceae. The record is from RNAcentral.
CACCCCCUCCAGCUGCCGUGGUGUGGCUGCGGUGUUGGGGCUCGUCGCGACGCGGCGGCCCUUAAAGACAGUGGCGGUCCCGGCGUGGGCUCUACGCGUAGUAACUUGCUUCUCGCGACAGAGUGACGACGGUGGCCUGCCAGAACAACCCCCUUUUGCUCCAGUCACAUGGAUCACA